CACUUUUCUUUACUUCUAACAUUAUGAGAGAGUAUAUCCUACAAUUAAAAGUGAACGUGAAUAAAAUAAAAUGAAAUAAAACAAGUAUUUUCUGUUAUCUGGUUGUAUUGAACGUUAUCUUAAAAUAGACAGUAAAAUAAUUGGAAAACACGAUAGAGAUCAGAAGAGGUAAAACGUGGAUCCGGGUGAAAAAAGGCUGUAAAUUAAAGUAAUACGGAUACGAACAAUAAUCACUAAACUUUUUUUAAUCUUCUCGAUAAUUAUAUUAUUCCAAAAUUUGUUUCUAAUGCACGGUUAUCUCUUUUUUCUGUUAUAUUUUAUUCACUUUUUUUUUUUUUUUUACUGAAAAUCCACUGGUUUGGUAUGGGUUUUUUCUGUGCUUUUAUUUUGGUGGAUGUGAAAGAACGCUCCGCUGUGAUGAACUCUCUCAGUAAAGCUGUAAGGCCACACAGGUCCGUCUGUACUUUGGCUUAGCCUAACGCUUAUAAGCAGACUGACCUCAUAGACCCAAGCUACACAACCUGAAUCCUCUUUCCCCAACAAUUCAGAUUUCACAGAGGUUUUCUUUUUCUUUUCUUUUUCCCCCUGCUAAGUAGCAAACGUCAAUUACACGACUUGUGCGGGUGAAAGUUCACAUGUGCAGCUCUGAUGUCCCUCGGCGGCUUCCUUCAUUUUUCGCUUUGUUGUUAUUGGGGAGAUACUGAAAGUUCAGAAGAAUUAAAAGCCUUUUCAUCGCUGAAAUGAAGCUCCAUCUGUCUGGAAACUGCCAUGAAACGGACCUGCAGGCUGAAACAUCUGACAGCAAGUUCCUCUAUCUGUUCAACAGCGAUAUCUGUGGGACACAUUUAACACGGAAAUAGGCCUACCUGUUCAAAUCAAAGAAAAAGGGACAUUUCAUCCUUUUUAAGUGAUCAAUAGAUCCACUUUUGAGUUACUAAAUGCUUUAUUGUCGUUUAACUACAUGUUGGAAAUAUAUCAGAUAAAAACAACAACAUUUAAUCAGGUGGAUUUAACUGCUCUCUCUCUCUCUCUCUCUCUCUCCUCUCUCUCUCUUUCUCUCUCUCUCGCUCAGUGUUUUUGUUAAAGGAGAACUCUCUCUCUCUCUCUCUCUCUGUCUCUGUCUCUGUCUCUCUCUCUACUCCUUCUUUUAGUUCUCCUCCUUGUCCCCAAAUUGGCCUUUUAAUCCCUCUCCAUGUGCUGGACUGACACCAGGCCACUCCGCUCUGAUGUCUUCAAGCUGACGUGUGAAUCAAGAGGUUCCCCUGGCUCCUCCACUGACCUUUGACCCCAUGCUGCCCUUUCCCCGACACUGGCUUAAGAGAAGGGGACAUGAUAGUGGUGAGGAUGAUACAGUCACUUGAUGAAAUGUAAUUUAAGAGAACUGUAGAAAUAAAGCCUCCAUCCUUAAAGGAGUGUGGAUCACAUGUUUGGUCUUCAUUUUGUCUUUUUCUGGUGUGUUUUUGUUUUUUCUUAAAAUGAAGGAGGUCCAGCACCACGCCUCAGUGAGUCCAUCUGAUGCUCAGGAAACAGAUUCUUAAAAGCGGUGUGAAUAUGAGAAGAAGCCUGACUGUCUGUCUGUCUGUCUGCUGAGGAGGAGCCCCCUCGCUAAACAUUUCAGCACAGCAACCAAGGAGGUAUGAAAAAAAGCACCAAUCAACUCAAGGACUGUACAAAGAGUGGCCUGCGGUUGCUAAGAGACAGAUGCAGAAUAACCUCCAUGAGAAACCUGACCAUGACCCUUCCUCCUCCUCCUCUCCCUCCUCCUCCCAGUCUCUCCCUCUCCUACCCAAUUACUACAGAACAUUAAAGCCCACCUCUGUCACAUUAAAGCUGAAAGGCAGAGAGGAGAAGGAGGAGGUGGUGGAGGAGUAGGAGGAGG
RNAcentral lists this long non-coding RNA (1879 nucleotides) under Xyrichtys novacula (pearly razorfish). The record is from RNAcentral. Lineage: Eukaryota; Metazoa; Chordata; Actinopteri; Labriformes; Labridae.